CUCCGGUUGAUCCUGCCGGACCCGACUGCUAUCGGAUUGAGAUUUAGCCAUGCGAGUCGAACGUCCCCCUGUUACGGGGGGCGUGGCGUACGGCUCAGUAACACGUAGUCAACCUGCCCUGGAGACAAGGACAACCCCGGGAAACUGGGAUUAAUCCUUGAUAGGUCAUCUCAUCUGGAAGGAGAGAUGGCUUAAAGGGGUACGCGGGCUUCUUCCGCGAAUUCGCUCCAGGAUGGGACUGCGUCCGAUCAGGCUGUUGGCGGGGUAAUGGCCCACCAAACCUGUAACCGGUACGGGCCUUGAGAGAGGUGGCCCGGAGAUGGACACUGAGAGAAGGGUCCAGGUCCUACGGGGCGCAGCAGGCGCGAAACCUUCGCAAUGCGCGAAAGCGUGACGAGGUUAAUCCGAGUGAUUUCCGCUGAGGAGAUCUUUUGUCAGCUGUAAAUAGGCAGGCGAAUAAGGGGAGGGCAAGCCUGGUGUCAGCCGCCGCGGUAAUACCAGCUCCUCGAGUGGUCGGGGCGAUUAUUGGGCCUAAAGCAUCCGUAGCCGGUUCCGUAGGUCCUCUGUUAAAUCCAACCGCUUAACGGUUGACCUGCAGAGGAUACCGCGGGACUAGGAGGCGGGAGAGGCGGACGGUAUUCCGCGUGUAGGGGUAAAAUCCUUUGAUCCGCGGAGGACCACCAGUGGCGAAGGCGGUCCGCCAGAACGCGCUCGACGGUGAGGGAUGAAAGCUGGGGGAGCGAACCGGAUUAGAUACCCGGGUAGUCCCAGCCGUAAACGAUGCUAGCUAGAUGAUUCAUUCGCAAGUCGCGAAUGAAGUGUCGCAGGGAAGCCGUUAAGCUAGCCGCCUGGGGAGUACGGUCGCAAGACUGAAACUUAAAGGAUUGGCGGGGGAGCA
RNAcentral lists this ribosomal RNA (898 nucleotides) under uncultured archaeon. Its description in RNAcentral is "bacterial SSU rRNA". It matches the Rfam family "Archaeal small subunit ribosomal RNA", at positions 1 to 878 of the family's 1478-position model. The record is from RNAcentral.